UGGUGGAGCGAUUUGUCUGGUUAAUUCCGAUAACGAACGAGACUCUAGCCUAUUAAAUAGUUAACCCAUUCGUACUGGUGGGUGUCAACUUCUUAGAGGGACAAGUGGCUUUCAGUCACACGAGAUUGAGCAAUAACA
RNAcentral lists this ribosomal RNA (138 nucleotides) under uncultured eukaryote. RNAcentral describes it as "partial 18S ribosomal RNA". It matches the Rfam family "Eukaryotic small subunit ribosomal RNA", at positions 1299 to 1458 of the family's 1831-position model. The record is from RNAcentral.